Molecule: ribosomal RNA, 408 nt
Filed under: uncultured bacterium
Lineage: Bacteria
Description: partial 16S ribosomal RNA
Rfam family: Bacterial small subunit ribosomal RNA
Source: RNAcentral
AGUGAACGCUGGCGGCGUGCCUAAUACAUGCAAGUCGAACGGAGUGGCGCACGGGCGAGUAAUGUAUAGCUAAUCUGCCCUACACUAGAGGACAACAGCUGGUAACGACUGCUAAUACUCUCUAGUGUAGGAGGAGGCUAUAUUGUAUCAGCUAGUUGGUGAGUUAAUGGCUCACCAAGGCUAUGACGCAUAACUGGUCUGAGAGGAUGAUCAGUCACACUGGAACUGGGACACGGUCCAGACUCCUACGGGAGGGAGCAGUAGGGGAUAGUGCUCAAUGGGGGAAACCCUGAAGCAUCAACGCCGCGUGGAGGAUGUCACUUGUCGGGGCGUAAACUACUUUUGUUAGGGAAGCGGUACCUAACGAAUAAGCACCGGCUAACUCCGUGCCAGCAGCCGCGGUAAUAC